CGGUAACAGGAUCCAGCUUGCUGGAUGCUGACGAGCGGCGGACGGGUGAGUAAUGCAUAGGAAUCUGCCCGAUAGUGGGGGAUAACCUGGGGAAACCCAGGCUAAUACCGCAUACGUCCUACGGGAGAAAGGGGGCUCCGGCUCCCGCUAUGGGAUGAGCCUAUGUCGGAUUAGCUAGUUGGUGAGGUAACGGCUCACCAAGGCGACGAUCCGUAGCUGGUCUGAGAGGAUGAUCAGCCACAUCGGGACUGAGACACGGCCCGAACUCCUACGGGAGGCAGCAGUGGGGAAUAUUGGACAAUGGGCGAAAGCCUGAUCCAGCCAUGCCGCGUGUGUGAAGAAGGCCCUCGGGUUGUAAAGCACUUUCAGCGAGGAAGAACGCCUAGCGGUUAAUACCCGCUAGGAAAGACAUCACUCGCAGAAGAAGCACCGGCUAACUCCGUGCCAGCAGCCGCGGUAAUACGGAGGGUGCAAGCGUUAAUCGGAAUUACUGGGCGUAAAGCGCGCGUAGGUGGCUUGAUAAGCCGGUUGUGAAAGCCCCGGGGCUCAACCUGGGAACGGCAUCCGGAACUGUCAAGCUAGAGUGCAGGAGAGGAAGGGUAGAAUUCCCGGUGUAGCGGUGAAAUGCGUAGA
Molecule: ribosomal RNA, 633 nt
Filed under: Halomonas sp.
Lineage: Bacteria; Pseudomonadati; Pseudomonadota; Gammaproteobacteria; Oceanospirillales; Halomonadaceae
Description: bacterial SSU rRNA
Rfam family: Bacterial small subunit ribosomal RNA
Source: RNAcentral